CCUCACUAGGCAGUCAUCAUCAGGAUAGGAAGUGGGCACGGGAUUCAGGAGAAAUCUGGACUUUACAGUGGACAGGAUGUGGUGACUGAACGUGACAGUGUGGGAAAAAGAAUGCAGGGUGAUUCCCGGGCUCAUGGCUUGAGAAAUGAGACCACUGUUGUGCCUCCAAGUGACAUGGGAGGCUAUAGAAAGUGACAUGGGAGGCUAUAGAAAGUGACAUGGGAGGCCAUAGAAAGUGACAUGGGAGGCCAUAGAAAGUGACAUGGGAGGCCAUAGAAAGUGACAAGGGAGGCCAUAGAAAGUGACAUGGGAGGCCAUAGUGACAUGGGAGGCCAUAGAAAGUGACAUGGGAGGCUAUAGAAAGUGACAUGGGAGGCUAUAGAAAGUGACAUGGGAGGCCAUAGAAAGUGACAUGGGAG
This 419-nucleotide long non-coding RNA is filed under the name Homo sapiens (human). RNAcentral describes it as "HSALNT0287266". Lineage: Eukaryota; Metazoa; Chordata; Mammalia; Primates; Hominidae. The record is from RNAcentral.